GCAGAACAGGGUGGGGAGCCGCAAG
Molecule: non-coding RNA, 25 nt
Filed under: Cricetulus griseus (Chinese hamster)
Lineage: Eukaryota; Metazoa; Chordata; Mammalia; Rodentia; Cricetidae
Source: RNAcentral